This 497-nucleotide ribosomal RNA is filed under the name uncultured bacterium. RNAcentral's name for it is "partial 16S ribosomal RNA". It matches the Rfam family "Bacterial small subunit ribosomal RNA", at positions 28 to 507 of the family's 1533-position model. The record is from RNAcentral.
GAUGAACGCUGGCGGCGUGCCUAAUACAUGCAAGUCGAGCGAACAGACGAGGAGCUUGCUCCUCUGACGUUAGCGGCGGACGGGUGAGUAACACGUGGAUGACCUACCUAUAAGACUGGGAUAACUUCGGAAAACCGGAGCUAAUACCGGAUAAUAUAUUGAACCGCAUGGUUCAAUAGUGAAAGACGGUUUUGCUGUCACUUAUAGAUGGAUCCGCGCCGCAUUAGCUAGUUGGUAAGGUAACGGCUUACCAAGGCAACGAUGCGUAGCCGACCUGAGAGGGUGAUCGGCCACACUGGAACUGAGACACGGUCCAGACUCCUACGGGAGGCAGCAGUAGGGAAUCUUCCGCAAUGGGCGAAAGCCUGACGGAGCAACGCCGCGUGAGUGAUGAAGGUCUUCGGAUCGUAAAACUCUGUUAUUAGGGAAGAACAAAUGUGUAAGUAACUAUGCACGUCUUGACGGUACCUAAUCAGAAAGCCACGGCUAACUACGUG